Prosopis cineraria is the source of this 630-nucleotide long non-coding RNA. RefSeq lists it as uncharacterized. The transcript has 2 exons. NCBI's taxonomy places the organism in Eukaryota, Viridiplantae, Streptophyta, Magnoliopsida, Fabales, Fabaceae. The record is from RefSeq and is a predicted model, not a curated record.
UGGAAAAUAACUACCUUUCAUACAUUUUAUGCCCCUUAUUGUAAAGUACCUAAACAAAACUAUACUUAUGCUAAGGAAAGAUUAUGAUUACAAAUAGGCAAUUGUAACAAUUAUAAUUUCUAGUUCUUUUGAUUUAAUGGAGUUGCAAAAGAUAGUUAUUUUCUUGGUAGAUACUCUACUUAGCUCAACUUAGUUGUGUGAAUUGCUAGAAUAUAAAUAAUUCACAAUAACCAUAUUAUGUACAAACAUUUGAAGAAUACAAAUGUUUUCCUUGUAGGUUGUGGCAUAUGGGGACCGGGCUAGAUGAGCACACACUCAAGCAUGAAGACAUGAAUAAAUAGAGGUGGAGAGGUGACCUAAUGGAUAGAUAUUGGAUGUGGCAAACUUGAUAGAUUUCACUUUCGAAGAACUAAAGGUAGCAACUAGAAAUUUCAGAGCUAAAUCUAUAUUAGGAGAGAGGCUUUGGUAGGGUGUACAAGGAUUGGCUUAAAGGGAUUAUAUUGUGUACUUUAAAUUUGGCAGGGAUUUUAAUGUGGCAAACUUAUAUUAUAUUGUGUACUUUAAAUUUCUUAUACAGUUAUUGUUUAUGGAUUGAAUUAUUUGUUAAUAAAAAUUUCACUUGCGAGUCAA